AGAGUUUGAUCAUGGCUCAGGAUGAACGCUGGCGGUAUGCCUAACACAUGCAAGUCGAACGAAGUCUUAGGACUGAGUGGCGGACGGGUGAGUAACGCGUGAGAAUCUGCCUUCUGGAUGGGGAUGACAGGGAGAAAUCGCUGCUAAAACCCAAUGUGCCGAGAGGUGAAAUACUUGUAGCCAGAAGAGGAGCUCGCGUCCGAUUAGUUAGUUGGUGGGGUAAGAGCCUACCAAGGCAGCGAUCGGUAGCUGGUCUGAGAGGAUGAGCAGCCACACUGGGACUGAGACACGGCCCAGACUCCUACGGGAGGCAGCAGUGGGGAAUUUUCCGCAAUGGGCGAAAGCCUGACGGAGCAAUACCGCGUGAGGGAGGAAGGCUUUUGGGUUGUAAACCUCUUUUAUAAAGGAAGAAACAAAUGACGGUACUUUAAGAAUCAGCAUCGGCUAACUCCGUGCCAGCAGCCGCGGUAAUACGGAGGAUGCAAGCGUUAUCCGGAAUCAUUGGGCGUAAAGCGUCCGCAGGUGGUUCGUCAAGUCUGCUGUUAAAGACAGAAGCUCAACUUCUGAAGAGCAGUGGAAACUGGGGAACUAGAGUACGGUAGGGGUUGAGGGAAUUCCCAGUGUAGCGGUGAAAUGCGUAGAUAUUGGGAAGAACACCAGUGGCGAAGGCGCUCAACUGGGCCGUAACUGACACUCAGGGACGAAAGCUAGGGUAGCGAAAGGGAUUAGAUACCCCUGUAGUCUUAGCUGUAAACGAUGAACACUAGGCGUUGCUUGUAUCGACCCGAGCAGUGCCGUAGCCAACGCGUUAAGUGUUCCGCCUGGGGAGUACGCACGCAAG
This 841-nucleotide ribosomal RNA is filed under the name uncultured bacterium. Its description in RNAcentral is "bacterial SSU rRNA". It matches the Rfam family "Bacterial small subunit ribosomal RNA", at positions 8 to 892 of the family's 1533-position model. The record is from RNAcentral.